Hypanus sabinus (Atlantic stingray) is the source of this 282-nucleotide non-coding RNA. The record is from RefSeq and is a predicted model, not a curated record. Lineage: Eukaryota; Metazoa; Chordata; Chondrichthyes; Myliobatiformes; Dasyatidae.
UGUCUGCAGUGAUGGAUAUUUCCCAAUAUUGCACUCUGUAUACAGGAGCAGCCCAGAGAGAGAACAAGAGUACCUCACUACAACUACAUCCCAUGUGCAUGCAAGACAUCUGCCCAGUUCACUCUCCUUUCCCUAUGCACUUAGAGUCCUGUUGUCACGGAGAUGCUGGCUUUACCAAUGCCUUCAUCGAUCAUAAAACAGGAAGAGUAAAGCCUCCCAGUUCCAGAUAUUGUUGAUAAGACGAGAGCACUGAUCUAUCAGACACUGACGGCUGGUACAAGU